Molecule: non-coding RNA, 5303 nt
Organism: Odocoileus virginianus texanus
Lineage: Eukaryota; Metazoa; Chordata; Mammalia; Artiodactyla; Cervidae
Source: RefSeq, a predicted model, not a curated record
CCGCACGCCUGCCCUCUCUGGGGCUGACAUGGCCUCAUCGGACUCCACACUGAACCUGUCCACUGUCAGUGAUAUUCAGAUUUCGACAUUCCAGCAGACUUUCUGAGGCUGCAGUCUUACUCUUCUGAAAGGAUGUCAGGUGCUAACACCCAGUUUUAGCAGGAAGUUCAGAAUUCCGGCAUGGACCAUAGCAGCCUGCAUAUUUUGGAUCCAGCUGCCUAAAUGACUCACCCCAGAGUCAGUGGGCUUGCAGCAAUCCCCAUGAUUCUUGGAAUUGCUGGCCUCCUCCUUAUAAUUCUGCUUCUGAGUUUUCCUCCCGUGCAAAAUGCAUGAAGGCUUGUCAUCACCAGCCCACUGUCCCAAGGAAGGGUUGCCGUGUUCAGAUGAGGGGGUCAAGAGGCAGUGGUAAAACUGGCUGCAUUUCUGGAAGCUUCCGGCUGCUGUGCAGAUGGCCACAGCAGAGCUUGGACAGGCAGAUUUCUUCUUUCUGGGGCCAUGAGAGCCCCCCCAUACACACCCCCCUUGAAGCUGUGACAGUGAGAUUUUGCCGACUCAGCAGGCCAGGACCUCCAAAGCCCAGACAGGCGCCUUCAGAAGUUGUGAGAGUGCCCAGCAGCAGGGUGUGGAUGGGAAGGCUGAUGGUUUGCGUCUCUUCCCAGCUCUGCAUUCACAGAGCUCACAUGGCUAACUGAAAUCUGCCAUGGGGGCGCCUUUACAGCUUGAGUAGUGACAAGCAGUGGAAGUCUAGGCUGCUUUCCCCAGAGAGCCUGUCCCCAGCACUGUGCCGUCAGGCGUGUUCCUCCCCCUCCCACUCCUGGCCUUUCUGGAAUCCCGGGAGAGCCACUGCCUGCCGCUCUGCUUGCCCUCUGCCUUCCCUGGCCGCUUUCACCCCCUAUGACCUCCCCCUCCCAGCCUGUGGACCGACUACAGAAACGUCUCCUCCCCUCACCCCUACCGCCCCGCAGGAUCCUGCCCUCAUGGUGAGAGGGUGGUGCGUGCACAGCACCCACAGGCUCUGUCUGUUCCUCGUGGGACCCAUGGCGGGCGCCUCUGCCCACAGAAAUGGGGCUUCCCCCGGCAGUGCCCACACCUCUGCAGCGUUUCUGUGGAUGGGUUAUAAUUGGCUCCAGCUGUGCCCUCCUGCACUUUUUCUAGUUUUCCCACUCUUGACCUCCCCGAUGCUUUCCUUUUGGCACGAGGGUGGCGUGGUUUUCAGUUCAUAAUCCAGUAAGUCCUGUUAAAGCACCAUGGAAACAAGGCCAAGUAAGACAGAGCCACCUCACCCUGAACAAGUGCCGGAUAGGGCAGGGUCCUGAAGAGAGUUUAAGGCCUGGAUGGAGUGUGCCUUCCUGAGUCUCAGAGGGUACUAAGCUGACAUCAGUAAGGAUCCUAGUAUGACUUCUAGAAGUCCAUACUAGUCACUUUCUUUCUCAACCUGCCCUGCUUCUAUCAUGGUUAAUGUUUUUAAAACACCAACCUCCGCUUUUCCGCCCACUCCCCCCUCCCCCCGAGCGCCGCUCCGGCCGCACUGCGCUCGCUCUGAGCUCUGGGCUCCUGCUAAGCCAGCGCCGCUGUCACCUCCCUCCAGUCGCCAUCAUGAUGAUCUACUGGUACCUCAUUAGCCAUGACGAGAAGUUCUCCGACAUCUACAAGAUCCAGGAGGUCGCGGAUGGGCUGUGUCUGGAGGUGGAGGGGAAGAUGGUCAGUAGGACAGAGGGUAACAUUGAUGACUCGCUCAUUGGUGGAAAUGCCUCCGCUGAAGGCCCCGAGGGUGAAGGUACAGAAAGCACAGUAAUCACUGGUGUCGAUAUUGUCAUGAACUAUGACUUGCAGGAAACCAGCUUCACAAAAGAAGCCUACAAGUAGUACAUCAAAGAUUACAUGAAGUCAAUCAAAGGGAAACUUGAAAAACAGAGACCAGAAAGAGUAAAACCUUUUAUGACAGGGGCUGCAGAACAAAUCAAGCACAUCCUUGCUAAUUUCAAAAACUGUCAGUUCUUUAUUGGUGAAAACAUGAAUCCAGAUGGCAUGGUUGCUCUGCUGGACUACCGUGAGGAUGGUGUAACCCCGUAUAUGAUUUUCUUUAAGGAUGGUUUAGAGAUGGAAAAAUGUGUAAGUAUAAAGAAGUGGGUUGAAAUCAGUCAUGUAAAAAUGGAGGUAUUACAACCUUUAGCAAAUAAACCACUUAAUGAUAAAAAAAAAACACCAACCUCCAAAUGUGACAUGUGGAAGCUAAACCCAGUUCUCAGUUUCUGAGUACUGAUUUCAGGUACUGCUGGAUCCAGGGGCUUAAAAUGAUGGGAAAUGAUGUCUGUAUCCCGGCACUGCUGUCCUGCCUCAGUGGACUGUAAUCUGAGGGCCUCUUGCCACGUACGGGGAGACUCAGACUUAGAUCAAGUCUCUGGGCAACUUUGGGAAAGAGAGCUGUUGCUUCCCAGGGUGAAUGCAAGUGUUAGAAUCGACUCUUCCUGUCCAGAGUUGGGUAGUGGACCCGCUCCUGGAGGUGAGGAGUUUAGGAUUAGCCCCUCAUGACUGGGGAAGAACACAUCCCCAGAAGCUCCUCCGGGGGGGUGUUACUUGCAAAAGGAGAGAAAGCGAUGAGGGAGCAACACACGAGAUGUUCACAGAAGCCCUAAAGUGGAGCAUGGCCAGGCCCGGCCGGGGGCGUUGAGUACAGGAGCCGACUGGGGUGCGAGCGCAGACUGAGACGGGAGGGGCGGGCCGCCCCGUGUGCCUGGUCUCUGCGAGGGAAAGGGGCUCUGGGGAGGUCCCAGAGUGACGGUGGUCAGCACCCAGCUUCACAGAAACUCACUCUGCUCACCUCGCUGAUUCCAAGUCACAGAGAUUCUCAACCUGCUCAAGCGUCCCCAGCCCAGUGACAAUGACAGUAAGCCUCCCCUCUCCUCCACUUCUGCGGCCUCUCUCUGCCACCUCCUCUUGCUCCUCCGCAUGGGCAGGGUGCCUCCCUCCCCACCCCCCCGACUCUGCACAGAAACUGAGCUUAUCAGGGAGCAAAUCCAAGCUGCCAGGCACUCUGGCCGCCUCUGCUCCCUGCCUUUCCUGCCAUCUCAGCUCUGGGCUCCCCCUCCAGAAGGCCUUCCCCGGCGGGCCCGGUCUCUGCCCACACGCACGCUUGAGCCCUGGACUGGCCUCUGUCUCAGAGCUUCCACAAGUGGCUCAUGUUCAUCUGUCAUCUAGCCCACCUUGCUUUCAGACCCUGAGCUCCUCAGGGUAGGAGCUGUGUCUUCAGCACCAGCUACAAGGCCCUCAGAAAGAGGUAAGAAAACAAUUGUCCAAACCUGCAGAUGAAUUGAAAGAGCAGUGAACACCCAUGCACCCUUGGGCCGGAAGUACUUGUAGGUUGGUAGUUCACUGGAAGCUGUGGAAAACCACAAAGUUGGUUGUUUUUAUGAGGAUAUGUAGAACAGGAGGCAUCACAGCGAUCUGAGGUUGGAAUGUGUUCUCUGGGAGAAUAUGACAUUUGCACAUUUCAGCGUCUGUCAUAAAACUCUAGACUUGUGCUGUAACCUAACGAAUGUGGGACCUUGGUCUGUUUCAGUUCAGGUGUCCACGUGACAAUAGCUGUGUGACUUCAGGCAGGUUACGGAACCUCCCUGUGCCCCCAUUUCCUCAUCUGUGAGAAAGAAGACAGUAAUCCUUUACCUUAGAGUGCUGUUGGGAAGGUCAAAUGGGUAAAAGCAUAUGGAGAAUGUGCCCUUUAUAUGCGAACUUGCAGGCGGUGGCUAAGAAGAGAAAAAUGAGCAGAAAUUGUGAGUAUCCCAACAGACUCGCUUCCUUCUAGUAGCCAGGAAAUCCCAAGAGUGGGUGGAAAUCUUUGAAGGGAAACAUUGGGUUCUAAGUGGCGGAGCUUUCUGUUUUCAAAGCCGUUCCUGGAGUCCUGUAAUCCGCAGCCACGCUCACCGAGUGUGACCCCUCCUGGAAGCUGUCCUACUGGGAGGCGGCCCUACGCAGACCCCUUGGUUUCUCUUGGUGGUUCCUGUAAAGGCGGGGUGCUGAGCCUGCACCUCCCCCUCGGGGCAGGGGAUCGCCGGGACCACUGUGUCCUGCAGACCAGGAAGCAGAGGGCAGCACCCCCAGCUGCUUGUGACCUGACCAGGGUCGGACCCAUCAGGUCCUAACCCAGCCCAGGGCUCGUGGGCUCAGGCUUAACUGAAACUACUUGUGGGUUUCAACUCUCAUUAUCCAAAAGUGGUGGGCAUUUUGUUUCUGACCUCAUAAACAAAGGGUGGGGAACCUGAUUUCGCUGAUUGUGGACUGUGCAGGGUUCACGGGUGCUGGCAAAGAAUGUGGCAUUGGACUUGGGGUGCACAGAGAGUUUUGUGUUUUGAGUAACAUAAAGACUUGGUAUUGACUAUUUUUAUUUACCACCUUCUCUUACUUGUCAGAGUAGGUUCUAUAAUCAUUGUUUACUUUCCUGAAUAACAAAGCAAAACAAACCAAAAAAGCCCAGAAUUUCACUGUAGAAUGCUCUCUCAUGAGAACCACAUGACUCUAAAGCCUAAGUGAGGAAAAAACAAAGAAAUUACGGGUGAGCAGUCAGAUGAUAAUAAAUACAUGGCUUGUAUGGAAAACCAAAUCUUUGCUAUGGCCAGCAGCAGAAUGUCAGAGAGAGCAAAGUGUGAACCUGGCAAAGGCCAUGAAGCUGAGGGUGGGCGCAGCCCUGCCACUCACAUGGCAUCAGCUGACUAACUGCCACGUCUGUCUGUAAGCAGCUCAGGGUGAGAGACUCCCGUCUUUAGUUCAAGGACACUUGCUUCUUGAAGGAGCAUCUACUUCACUAAUCUGGGGUUAUCAGAUCCCUAAGGGACACUAGAGUUAGGCUGCCCUCUAAAAAGCCCCAGGUAGGUAAGAGUGAAAUGAAUGAAUUUUGCUAAAGAUGCAAAACCUGUUUUGGAGACUUGGACAUGUGGAAAUAGAAUCCAUUCAUCCGGCAGAAAAUCCCCUACUCUGUAAGUCUAGUGAAAUGCGAUAGGGCUGUGUGUGGCUGUCUGCAUCCUCUGGCACUCCUCCUGACACCCCCUCUGUGUGAGCCGGUUCUGAGACACCAGCCCACGCUCUGAGGCGCAGGAGUCGAGGCAGCUCUCACUCAAGCACCUGGGGUCAGGAGCUGCUCUCUGCCUGUGAGCCAGCCUUCUGUUCUCAGAGAAAGCUCCCUUUCCCUCACGGCAGGCCUCCCUCUUCUGCCCUGUGGAGGCGGAGCAUGAGACCUCCAACCCACCCCUCAAGACACGCUGACUCCCUUCAAAGACAGGCUGACUCCCCCAAUUCUGUGGUGUUCCAUU